Mustela erminea (ermine) is the source of this 2100-nucleotide long non-coding RNA. RefSeq lists it as uncharacterized. NCBI's taxonomy places the organism in Eukaryota, Metazoa, Chordata, Mammalia, Carnivora, Mustelidae. The transcript is spliced from 2 exons. The record is from RefSeq and is a predicted model, not a curated record.
GUCUUUAGUCUACAACAACCAACAAUUUUAAGAGUUGAUGAACCAGCAGCUUAUAGAUCUUUCCCCCCCUUAUUUAAUAUUUGGUACGUUUCACCUUACUCCACAGCAAAACAGAAUUACACAUUUUUUUUCUUUUUAUUUUCAUUGGCUUCUUUUUCCAAAGGAAUCUAGAUGCUACCUGAAAUGAUGUUCUAGAUUUAAUACAUCCUUAUUCUCCAGUAUCCUGGGUAGCCGAGUUGAUCUAACAGACAGAAUGCUUGGUUAACAAGAUGAAUUGGUUAACAAGAUGUGUAACCCAUGGCCUCUGUCCUCAACGUAUCUCACCUUGUCUGGAUCCAUUACAGAGACCAUAGAAUAUCGUGGGCUACCAAACAUACAGUCCUCCAAAUCCAAAAGCCAAAAAAGAACUUUUCAAAUAUUCUCCAGUGCAAAUGCAAGUGAUGUUCACUAUGCUACUACAUUCAAUACUAAGUAGGCAGUAUUAUCAUACAAACAAAAACCAACCCCGCAGACAUGGAGCAAAGUCUGCUUAAACACGCCACCCCCGGGGAAGGAAAACCACCUCACACCGGAAGGUUUAAGUUCAGCACGUAUACCGUGCACAGAAUUAAAACAUCAAAGCAGAACCUAGGUCUCUACACGGCCCGGAACCAAGCAACAAACAGCUUCUGCCAGCCACAAUUAAAUCCAAGCCCUAACUUAGAUGCUUUAAAUUAGUAACAGUUAAACCAGCUCUCUUUCACUUGUUUGCUCAUAAAAUCUUGCCCCCGCUGUGAGUCAGCGGUGACUCAUAAUCACUUCCUACAAGAAGCACCUGUUUUUAGGCCCAUCCCUUGCAACCGAAGUGCUGAGAUCUUAGCUUAAUGCUUGCUAACAAGGGAGUAUAAUCCCUCGUCUCUCUGCAACCAGACCGGGCCAGGCAGAGCUGCAGGGACUGCCAACAGAACUGGAUCCUUUGAAAAGUAUUAAAAACGGAGAUGGAAAAAGGAAAUCCAAUAGUUCUUAGAAGCUCUCUUGUCCUCUUUUCAAGCGAAGGAAAAGAAACGCCCCGUGGCCGUUUCCAUGUCGUCUGAACAAGACCGGUCAGAUCGUUUGUUUGGAUUUUUCAGCAACCUUUACUAAACACUUCUAUCCACGUGAGCAAUAAGAAAAAGGGGAGCUGUUUAAUGAGUGUGUAAGAGAGAAGGGGGCGCUGAGAGGAGGAAGGGGAGAGAAAGUGCUCAAUUCUGACAAAUAGUCACAACUAGCCAUUUCGGAGAAGUCGGUCGAAAUUUCCGCCGGGUCCACAGCUGACCUGGACUCACCUUUGGUGUGUUCACUCUCCAUAGGUCAGUCUUCUCAGUCCGGAUUGGCUCCUUGUUGACUGAACUUAAAAAGCUGUGAAAAUAAACGAAGGGAAGAUGACAGGAUACCUUGCAGGAAUCGCGGUGCAGAAGGGACGAGUAUCACUUACUAAUGCCCUAAAUAAUGAAUGACGGAUGAAUAAUACAUUCGAAAGAAAAGACCCUCCUUAUGGCCACUUCAUGGUAUCCUAACCUCUCCUAUCCGGGCACAAAUUGGAGAAGUGUUUUACUGAUUGGAUGAGGGCAUAUUCAUAGGUUUUGCGUUUUGUUAUUCCUCUCAACAACUUUUAUGUUAUGGAAUUUUUUUUUUCUGUGUGUUUCAAAAAUACUUUAAAAUGAAUGUUUUGUUUUGUUUUGUUAAAUACUCUUAUAUGGUUAAACCACCUUUAAUCUCCCUCUUUCCUUUUACAUAAAACUCACCACAGACCGUGGACGAAUUAAAGUGUCGGAGGGAAACAGAAAAAAAUCGCAUUUCCACAAUUUCCACAAUCUGAUGCAAAUGGUGUCUCUCCCGAGGGGUUAUACCAAAACAGGAAGUGUGAACCAAAGGGACAAAGAUAUAUACCCUAAACUUCGGGAUGCUAUUCGACACAUAUUUAUUUUAUCCUGGGGCACACAUUCGGCAGAUAGGAACGUGGUGAUGAUUUAUGUCCGGCCAUUAGGGAUGAUGGCUGUACUGUUACUUAUUUUUAAGUAUUUUGAAUAUGUACUGAUGUGGAUAAAUUUCCUUUGGAAAAUGUACACUACCUAAAUCGUU